UCAUACCAUUAUCUUAAACGUUAAAACAUCCACUACCUUGUCCAGAUGAAUUUUCAAAGUCAAAACGUCAUACAUCCAAUGAACAAUAACAGGCUUUCUGAUUUUUCAGUCACAUUUCUAAUGUGUUGUGUGUUUCAUAAUUAUAAUUUGUCUAUAUGGACCAAACUGAAAUAUUUUUUACUAAGGAAGUAGAGUUCAGAAAUGUUUUAGUAAAGUGACUAACGUUUCAAUAGGCUUAGUGUGAAGCUCAGUGCGCAUCUGCUAAAAAUGAAAAGGUCUGAAAUUAUCUUCAGAUUUUUCCCCUACUGUGCACUUACACAGGUUAUAUAUAGUAAGCUACUGGAUAAUGAAACCCAUGAAAGAGUUUUUAAAAAUUAACUGAGAAGCCCAAGCAGCCAUGGAGAAAGCUCCCGUUCGAUUAGGUUCGCCUGCUUUUGUCUUAGAGCAAGUAACCACAGGCAAAGCUCCCAUCACCGCUUACUGAGCUCACUGGCUUUGUCUCGGCCUCUGAGAACCACCUCAUCAGAUUCAAAUCAUUUCAGUUCCCCCAUCUGGGCCUUUAAAUGCGGUGAGCACGGGAGGCGGCAUCCAAAGGAUCACACACUCAAGGUAAACUCCAAGUCCGAUCAGUGUCCGUGUCUCUACGGUAGAAUAAACUCCUGUUUCCUCUAUGCCUACCCUGUUCUGUGGCUUCUCAACACUUCCUAAAACCAGGAGGGAAGGCGGGAAUCCGGCCUUGAGCGCCUGCCCAGAACAAGGCCCUAAGGCAGCCAGGUCUGGCUCUUCUCCGCCCCUCAGAGCAUCCAACCGGGGAGAAACUCAAGCGCGGGGUAGGAAGCAAGACUGAGGGGCCUCAGACCGAGCUUUUGGAAAAUAGAAAAGUCUCGCUCUCUGCCCCUCAGCCUAACUUCCUUUAUAUCCUCACAAGUUUCUCCCUCAAACUUCGGGCUCGCAUCCUGGAAAAGCGUAGGGACACGGGCAUCUACGCAGCCCGGGGUUCCUCGCCUCCCCGCCUCCCCCAUGGCGACAGAGCCCCUGACUUCCGGACAACUCCAACCGCUCGGCCUAAAGACAGUCGCCGCGGCUUCGCACGCCCCAGCCUGACCCUAACUCCCGGCUCACUCACUGCCUGCCCGGGACCGCCAUCUUGUUCCCGUCUCCGCUGGACGUGGCGGACGCGGACGUGACCCUUCCUCUUUCAUUGCCUCAUCUAUCCACUGGCAUUCAGAUCAGAGGCUCCUCACCAUUUGUCUCAUGGAUGCACUCAAACACCAUCCAACUGGGUAAGAAGCCAUUUGGGAGGGAGCUCACACUGUGAUUCUAGCCAC
This is a long non-coding RNA of Nannospalax galili (Upper Galilee mountains blind mole rat), 1328 nucleotides long. RefSeq lists it as uncharacterized. The record is from RefSeq and is a predicted model, not a curated record. NCBI's taxonomy places the organism in Eukaryota, Metazoa, Chordata, Mammalia, Rodentia, Spalacidae. The transcript has 3 exons.